GACGAACGCUGGCGGCGUGCUUAACACAUGCAAGUCGAGCGGUAAGGCCCUUUCGGGGUACGACGAGCGGCGAACGGGUAGAGUAACACGUGGGUGGACCUCGCCCUCCAGCUCUGGGAGUAAGCCUCGGGAAACCGGGUACGUAAUACUGGAUAUGACUCCAUGACGCAUGUUGUGGGGUGGAAAGACCUUGUGCGGCUGAGGAUGGGCCCGCGGCCUAUCAGCUUGUUGGUGGGGUGANGGCCUACCAAGGCGACGACGGGUAGCCGGCCUGAGAGGGCGACCGGCCACACUGGGA
Molecule: ribosomal RNA, 298 nt
Filed under: uncultured bacterium
Lineage: Bacteria
Description: partial 16S ribosomal RNA
Rfam family: Bacterial small subunit ribosomal RNA
Source: RNAcentral